Ornithorhynchus anatinus (platypus) is the source of this 1068-nucleotide long non-coding RNA. RefSeq lists it as uncharacterized. The transcript has 3 exons. Lineage: Eukaryota; Metazoa; Chordata; Mammalia; Monotremata; Ornithorhynchidae. The record is from RefSeq and is a predicted model, not a curated record.
GGUGACUCUCUUUCCCCUGCUGUCUCCUGUGCUCAUUUCAUCCUGGAGCCAAGCAGCCAGGCCGCGCAGCCCCUCCUCACUGCCCGGACCCCCCUCCGCGAUGAGAUGGAGGCACAGCACGCUGGCUGGCACUGGAGGAAGGAGAGGGUGAUCUGGCCCGCAGAAGGAAAGCAGCGACGUAAGAUGGACCAAACCUGCCUGCCUCUGGACCUCCUUUCAAGAGAUCUCAGAAAGGAGGCAGUAGUCAAAGGAGAGAGACUGGUUUGGGGAAGUGAGCAGUUUUGAAAGGAAGUGGAGACGCCUUACGGUGGGAAAAAUGAGACCCAAAGCCAGGUCUCCUGGAGUGAGUUUCCUGGCUUCCUUCUCCCUCUCCUACAUUCUGAAACAUCCCAGAUGUCUUCACCACAAUAGGAAUGACUUCAUCUACCACCAGAUUUGAAACAAGAGUCUUACGGUAACUAAUGUCACCAUCAACAUUUGCCAGAAGGCAAGGAAAAAUAUAUGUACUCCGAUGGAAGUCAGUCUCAGCACCUCGGUCAACGGAAUUUCUUCCCCUCCUGCUCCUAAGAAAUAUGCCAUGGUAUUUGAUAACCUCACGAGAAAGGAACGUUUGUUAUUUUCCAUAAGAAUGCAACUGAAGUUGGGCAGCUCUGCUCCAACUCCAUUGAGUCAGCAAGAAAAAGCCCAUCCAACCAGCAAUCGAAGUCGAUUUACAGUCUUUGUGAAUUUCACGGCAAACUUCUCAUUUACCUGGGAGGAAACUGCAGGUUAAAAAAAAAAAAAAAAGGUAAAAUGGAAGAAGAGUUCACUAUAAAUUAUUACAAGACCAAACUUUCUUUUAAAUGUUUAUUGAAACCACUGCUAAAACAAGGACAGGUUUAGUGCAACUUGAAAUUCAUAAUUUGGUAACUGAACAGACCAUUAAAUUACCAAGAUCACCUUAUAGCAGUCACUCAGUACAGUUACAUCAACUUUACGGUUAUUUAAACUGCACUCGUAUGCAACUGAUUAAAUGAGGAUGUGAAUCUUUUAACACUGCGUGAGUAAACAAAAUUAGUAGCAGAUACA